Molecule: long non-coding RNA, 1250 nt
Organism: Drosophila sulfurigaster albostrigata
Lineage: Eukaryota; Metazoa; Arthropoda; Insecta; Diptera; Drosophilidae
Exons: 2
Source: RefSeq, a predicted model, not a curated record
UUCAAAACCAUACUGAAAACCAUUGCGAAAAAUUAAAUAAAAAUUUUCAAUACAUAUGUAUGUACAUAUAUCUGCAUGUCACAUAACAAUGAUUGUGUUUAUGUAUAUGACAUACAUUUAAGUAUAUUACUACUUUGGGAAAAAGUAUCGAAACUAUGGUUAUUGUUUAAAAGCUAUUUAAUUUUUCUUCUAAAUUAGUUUUGUUUUUGAAAUAUCCAAAAAAGUCUUUAGAGCCUCUACCCCUAGGGUAGAAGCGUAUUAUAACUUUGUCCAGACGGGAAACGAAACAAAACGAGACAUCUCUGACCCCAUAAAGUAUAAAUAUAUUCUUGAUCAGCGUCAACAGUCGAAACACUAUAGCCAUGUUCGUUUGUCUGUCCGUAUGAAUAUCCAGAUAUCAGAAGUUAUGAGGAAUAGAACUAUGAUUAUUAUCAUCACUUGUUAUUUUUGCACCCAGAUCGGCACCACAAGUAAAAAAAUAAAUCAAAGCAAACGUUGUUUUGCAGCUAGAGUCGAUUUUUGGAACGUUCGACAAUGAUCAAUUAUGAUCCCUGAUAUAAAAGUUAUAUAUACAUAUACAUAUGUUAUUCAAUAAAAAGUUGUAUAUGGAAAAACGGCUACUGUUUUCAUGUAAUGUAAUACUGUAUCGAUGUACCAAUUGCAGUCCUCGGUAUUUUUUGCAAUUUCUUUUGCUAUAUUUAAAAGGUACAUUUUAAGAAUAAUACCGCACUCUUUUGCUAUUUUCUGCUUAAAAAUGUGUAGCGGGUACCUCACAGUCGAGUAUACUCGAUUAUAAUAUAACUGUUGGUUUUGGUUUCAAUCUUUCCAAAAUGCUGUCUACCAAGCAAUCAUUAAGUUCAGCGCAUAGCUUAAAAGUAAAUCUUACCAAUUCACACAAAUCCGGUGUGUCCGAAAUAAUUUGCAUCUAUUUGAUGACUAAAUUAUCUGAAAUUAUACACAAAAUGGCUUACACUGAGCAUUUCCAUGAGUUACACUGUCGUACUGUCGAAAAUUGAUGAUUUUCAAACUUAAAUUUUUAGAUUUUUUUACCUUGAACGCCUAACUUCAUGAAUCUUUAAAUAUAAUUUACUAUUCAACUCAAAUUUAUUUUACAAAUAAAAAAAAAUUGGUGCCGGCCUCAAUGUCUAGUAAAAGCGAUAUUUCGUUUUAAAAGAACGAUAAGCUUUAACAAAAUUUUUUAAAGCGAUUAAGCUACCCUGUGUAUCAUCAGCUUUUGUUUUAUUUACAAU